UGCACUAUGAGCAUCAGGUUAGCAAAGGAAGGAGAGGAAAGAGACACCGCGGAAAUAAAAUUUUCAGCGAAAGAAAAUGAGGAGAAAAUAAAUGGCCAACCAGUAGAGAUAAAAGAACAGGAAGAAUGAAAAGAUUUCUUCCUUAAGAAGGCUAAAAUACACCCAGAAGCAGAGAACAAUGUCCGCAGUCAUCAUUGUCACCUGUGAGUUCUACAAAUGAAGGUGUGUGAGAGAACGAACAAGGAAAAUGCAAGGAGGGGAUGUUCAACCGAUCCAUAGGGGACAAAUCCUAAUAUGUGUAUUGUGCACCUGUUCAUGAUCCACCAGAUAACUAGGAUGCGGUGCCCUUUGAAACAUCAUGUACGACCCCGGGCCAUCCACAUGGUCUCCUCCAGCUCAUUGAUCACAGUCUGGACUUUGUCGCUGAACGCCCUCAGAGAGGCGACGCCUUC
This is a long non-coding RNA of Pundamilia nyererei, 452 nucleotides long. RefSeq lists it as uncharacterized. NCBI's taxonomy places the organism in Eukaryota, Metazoa, Chordata, Actinopteri, Cichliformes, Cichlidae. The record is from RefSeq and is a predicted model, not a curated record. The transcript is spliced from 4 exons.